CGCUGAAAGAUAAAUCUGUUUAAGAUUAGGUUGUUGGUAAUUUAAAAGCUUACCAAGCCGAUGAUCUUUAGUUGGUCUGAGAGGAUGAUCAACCACACUGGAACUGAAAUAAGGUCCAGGCUAAUACGUUGGCCAGCAGUGGGGGAUAUUGGACAAUGAACGAAAGUUUGAUCCAGCAAUACUAACUGGGUGAUGACGGCUUAUUGAAGUUGUAAGAUCCUUUAAUUAAAGAAGAUAAUGACAUUAUUUAAUUGAAUUAGUCCUGGCUAAUACUCGUGCCAGCAGCCGCGGUAAUACGGGAAGGGCAAGCGUUAUCCGGCAUGACUGGGCGUAAAGAGUCCGUAGACUGUAAAAUAAGUUUUUUGUUAAAUUUUAAGACCUAAUCUUAACAUAGCAACUAAUACUAUUUUACUAUGAGUCUAAUACAGAAAAGUAGAAUUUUAUACGAUAGAGGUGAAAUUUGCAGAUAUAUAAAGGAAUGCCAAAAGCGAAGGCAACUUUUUGGUAUAGACUGACGUUGAGGGACGAAAGCGUGGGUAGCAAACGGGAUUAGAGACCCCGGUAGUCCACGCCGUAAAUUCUGAGUGCUGUAAUUUAAUUGUAAUAUUUUUUAAAUAUUAUUUAGAUUUUCAAGCUAACGCAAUAAGCACUCCGCCUGAAAAGUACGAUCGCAAGAUUGGAACUCAAAGGAAUUGACGGGGGUCUAACACUGGUGGUGGAGCAUGUGGUUUAAUGCGAUAAUCCGCGCAAUACCUUACCAAUUCUUGACAUAAUUUUAUAAUUUUGCUUAAUCUUAUUUUGUAUAGUUUAAUUAUUUAUUACAGGUGUUGCACGACUGUCGUCAGCUCGUGUCGUGAGAUGUUUGGUUAAGUCCUGAAACGGGCGUAACUCUUACUUUUA
Molecule: ribosomal RNA, 900 nt
Filed under: uncultured organism
Description: bacterial SSU rRNA
Rfam family: Bacterial small subunit ribosomal RNA
Source: RNAcentral